RNAcentral lists this transfer RNA (67 nucleotides) under Marmota monax (woodchuck). Its description in RNAcentral is "tRNA.Ala". It matches the Rfam family "tRNA". From Rfam's summary of the family: Transfer RNA (tRNA) molecules are approximately 80 nucleotides in length. The record is from RNAcentral. Lineage: Eukaryota; Metazoa; Chordata; Mammalia; Rodentia; Sciuridae.
GGUUGUAGCUCAGUGGUAGAGUGCUUGCCUAGCAUGUGGGAGGCACUGGGUUUGAUUCUCAGCACCA